AGUGAACGCUGGCGGUAGGCCUAACACAUGCAAGUCGAACGGCAGCACAGUAAGAGCUUGCUCUUACGGGUGGCGAGUGGCGGACGGGUGAGGAAUACAUCGGAAUCUACUUUUUCGUGGGGGAGAACGUAGGGAAACUUACGCUAAUACCGCAUACGACCUACGGGUGAAAGCAGUGGAUCUUCGGACCUUGCGCGUUUGAAUGAGCCGAUGUCGGAUUAGCUAGUUGGCGGGGUAAAGGCCCACCAAGGCGACGAUCCGUAGCUGGUCUGAGAGGAUGAUCAGCCACACUGGAACUGAGACACGGUCCAGACUCCUACGGGAGGCAGCAGUGGGGAAUAUUGGACAAUGGGCGCAAGCCUGAUCCAGCCAUACCGCGUGGGUGAAGAAGGCCUUCGGGUUGUAAAGCCCUUUUGUUGGGAAAGAAAAGCAGCAGGUUAAUACCCCGCUGUUCUGACGGUACCCAAAGAAUAAGCACCGGCUAACUUCGUG
RNAcentral lists this ribosomal RNA (492 nucleotides) under uncultured bacterium. Its description in RNAcentral is "partial 16S ribosomal RNA". It matches the Rfam family "Bacterial small subunit ribosomal RNA", at positions 29 to 507 of the family's 1533-position model. The record is from RNAcentral.